RNAcentral lists this unclassified non-coding RNA (353 nucleotides) under soil metagenome. RNAcentral's name for it is "partial contains 5.8S ribosomal RNA, internal transcribed spacer 2, and large subunit ribosomal RNA". The stretch from base 2 to 121 matches the Rfam family "5.8S ribosomal RNA", at positions 35 to 154 of the family's 154-position model. The record is from RNAcentral.
GGAUGAAGAACGCAGCGAAAUGCGAUACGUAAUGUGAAUUGCAGAAUUCAGUGAAUCAUCGAGUCUUUGAACGCACAUUGCGCCCUCUGGUAUUCCGGGGGGCAUGCCUGUCCGAGCGUCAUUGCUGCCCUCAAGCACGGCUUGUGUGUUGGGCCCCCGUCCCGGUUCUUUAAGCCGGGACGGGCCCGAAAGGCAGCGGCGGCACCGUGUCCGGUCCUCGAGUGUAUGGGGCUCUGUCACCCACUCGUGUAGGUCCGGCCGGCGGCCAGCCUCUUCAACCAAACUUUUAACCAGGUUGACCUCGGAUCAGGUAGGGAUACCCGCUGAACUUAAGCAUAUCAAUAAGCGGAGGA